This 253-nucleotide ribosomal RNA is filed under the name uncultured bacterium. RNAcentral's name for it is "partial 16S ribosomal RNA". It matches the Rfam family "Bacterial small subunit ribosomal RNA", at positions 524 to 776 of the family's 1533-position model. The record is from RNAcentral.
UACGGAGGGGGCUAGCGUUAUUCGGAAUUAUUGGGCGUAAAGGGCGCGUAGGCGGCCCGGUAAGUCAAAGGUGAAAUCCCUCGGCUCAACUGAGGAACUGCCUUUGAAACUGUCGGGCUCGAGGCCGGGAGGGGGUAGCGGAAUUCCCAGUGUAGCGGUGAAAUGCGCAGAUAUCAGGAGGAACACCGGUGGCGAAGGCGGCUCUCUGGACGGUGACUGACGCUGAGACGCGAAAGCGUGGGGAGCAAACAGG